CUACGGGAGGCACCAGUGGGGAAUAUUGCACAAUGGGGGAAACCCUGAUGCAGCAACGCCGCGUGGAGGAUGACACAUUUCGGUGUGUAAACUCCUUUUAUAUGUCAAGAAAAUGACGGUAGCAUAUGAAUAAGCACCGGCUAACUCCGUGCCAGCAGCCGCGGUAAUACGGAGGGUGCAAGCGUUACUCGGAAUCACUGGGCGUAAAGGACGCGUAGGCGGGGUGGAAAGUCAGGUGUGAAAUCCUACAGCUUAACUGUAGAACUGCACUUGAAACUUCUAAUCUAGAGUAUGGGAGGGGGAGAUGGAAUUAGUGGUGUAGGGGUAAAAUCCGUAGAUAUCACUAGGAAUACCUAAAGCGAAGGCGAUCUCCUGGAACAUUACUGACGCUAAGGCGUGAAAGCGUGGGGAGCAAACAGGAUUAGAUACCCCCGUAGUC
Molecule: ribosomal RNA, 439 nt
Filed under: uncultured bacterium
Lineage: Bacteria
Description: partial 16S ribosomal RNA
Rfam family: Bacterial small subunit ribosomal RNA
Source: RNAcentral